RNAcentral lists this ribosomal RNA (2604 nucleotides) under Candidatus Woesebacteria bacterium GW2011_GWC1_42_9. RNAcentral's name for it is "bacterial LSU rRNA". It matches the Rfam family "Bacterial large subunit ribosomal RNA", at positions 1 to 2512 of the family's 2925-position model. The record is from RNAcentral. Lineage: Bacteria; Candidatus Woeseibacteriota.
CUUAAUGCAAACAGUGGAUGCCUAGGCAUAAGUUGCUGAUGAAGGACGCGUAAGGCUGCGAUAAGCGCCGGGGAGCUGCCACAAAGCUUUGAUCCGACGAUUUCCAAAUGGGAGAACCCAGUCCCGCUUUGCGGGACUAUUUACACCCCAAGUUUUUCUAUUUAAUAGUAAAUAUUAAGGUGUAGAAAGGUACCUGAGGAACUGAAACAUCUAAGUACUCAGUGGAAAAUAAAUCAAAAGAGAUUGCCUUAGUAGCGGCGAGCGAAACGGCAAGAGCCCAAAUCCCUCAUCAUAUUCUUCGGAAUAUGGUGAGAGGAGGUUGUAGGACCUCAAUGUGGGAGUUUGAAGGGUAGUAGAAAUUGCUGGAAUGCAAUACCAAAGAAAGUAAUAGUCUUGUACACAAAACCCUGAUAACCCCUAGAGGUAUCCUGAGUACCACGGUCGACAUCUCCGUGGGAAUCUGGGGGAACCAUCCUCCAAGGCUAAAUACAACUUAUGACCGAUAGUGAACUAGUACCGUGAGGGAAAGGUGAAAAGAAGGCCGAGAGGGCCAGUGAAAUAGUACCUGAAACUGUUUGCAAACAAACCGGUAAAGCCCCUCACCAUUUCUGUUUAAUAGAUAUACUUAAAUUGUGUUUUAUAUAUAUCUUCUAAAAUCUUUAAAAACUCAAAAGAUUUAUAUUGGUUAUACCAAUAAUUUGAGAAGAAGAUUUGAACAGCAUAAUAAUGGUGAGAAUAAAUCAACCAAAUUUCAGAAACCUUGGAAGCUAAUAUAUUACGAAGCUUUUUUAUCAAAAUCUGACGCGAUGACACGAGAGAAAAAAUUGAAACAUCAUGCGAGAGGAUUAAUUGAAUUAAAAAAAAGAAUAAUUUCAAGUUUAGACGGAAAUGGUGAGGGGUAAUACCGUGCCUAUUGAAGAAUGAGCCAGCGAGUUUUCGUUAUCUGCAAGUCUAACCCCGAGCGGGGGUAGGCGCAGGGAAACCGAGUGUUAAAAGCGCGUUUAAGCAGCUAGCGAAAGACCCGAAACUAGGCGAGCUAACCAUGAGCAGGGUGAACUCCGAUGAAAAUCGGAGGGAGGCCCGAACCCGUGUACGAUGUAAUGUGCUGGGAUGACUUGUGGUUAGAUUGUAAAAUGCUAAUCGAGCCUAGAGAUAGCUGGUUCUCCCCGAAAGGUGUAUAGGCACCGUGCUUUGUAAAAACGCGUCAGGGGUAGAGCUACUGACUGGUCUCGCGAGCGAAAGCCAGCGAGAUCAACCAAACUCCGAAUACUGACGUGGACGCAAAGUAAACAGUCUUAUGGGGCUAAGCUCAUAGGACGAAAGGGAAACAACCCAGACUCUCAGCUAAGGUCUCUAAAUUCAUCUUAAGUUUUAAAGGAAGUCUCAUUCCGCAGACAGCCAGGAGGUUGGCUUAGAAGCAGCCAUCCUUCAAAGAAAGCGUAACAGCUCACUGGUCAAUGGAGUGAGGCGCCUAAAAUUCAUCGAGGAUUAAAGAUGGUACCGAAGCUAGAGAUUCCCGAUUUUAUCGGGAGUGGUAGGGGAGCGUUCCAAUUGCUGUGAAGUUUAAUUGUAAAGUUAGGUGGAGCGAUUGGAAGUGAGAAUGCUGGCAUAAGUAGCGAGCAAGUCCGAUGCGAAUUCGGACCGCCGUAAGCCCAAGGUUUCCCCGGCAACGUUCGUCGUCCGGGGGUUAGUCGGUUCCUAAGGCGAGGCCAAUUGGCGUAGUCGAUGGACAGUCCGUUAAUAUUCGGACACUUGGUAUUGGUUGUUUUAGCUUGAGGAUUAACUGAAUUGGAAGAUUGAAGCCCUUUAUUGAAUUAGGGUGCAAGCUAUUAGUCAGCUUUUGUUGGAAAAUCCGCAAGAGCGUUUAAACGAGUAGUUAUGCAGAGUUCUGAGAGAUCAGGGCAAUUUUGAACCUUUCAGUUUACAAGAAAAGGUUCGCAAGCAAAACCAAUAUUAAGCCGUACCGCAAACCAACACAGGUGGGCAGGUUGAGUAGACUAAGACUGCUGUGAACCGAAGCUCCGGUAAACGGCAGCAGUAACUAUAACUGUUCUACGGUAGCGAAGUUCCUUGUCACUUAAUUAGUGACCCGCACGAAUGGCAUCACGAGCCAGUAACUGUCUUAAACAUCCGCUCGGCGAAAUUGCGAUGGCCGUGAAGACGCGGCCUACACACACCAGGACAAGAAGACCCCGUGAAGCUUUACUGUAGUCUGGCAUUGAUUUGUGCAUUUUAAUUGUCUAGCGCAGGAGGGACCCUGAGAGCAAUCGAAGGGGACAAUGUAACACCUCUCUUUGAAAUGUGGCAAAUCUUACUUACGAGCCUUAUAACAGGUUCAAGGAAAGUGUCAGAUGGGCAGUUUUACUGGGGCAGUACCCUGCUAAAGAGUAAUGCAGGGACACAAAGGUUGGCUUACCACGGAUGGAAAUCGUGGUGAAAGCGUAAAGGUAUAAGCCAGCUUGACUGCGACACGUACUUGUGGAGCAGGUGGGAAACCAGGUCUUAAUGAUCCUCCGAUCCUCAAUGGGUGGGGACGGAGCUUAAUGGAUAAAAGCUACUCCGGGGAUAACAGAGUAGUCGCCUCCGAGAGUCCAUAUCGACGAG